This 88-nucleotide transfer RNA is filed under the name Agrobacterium salinitolerans. RNAcentral describes it as "tRNA-Thr". It matches the Rfam family "tRNA". Rfam says of the family: Transfer RNA (tRNA) molecules are approximately 80 nucleotides in length. Their secondary structure includes four short double-helical elements and three loops (D, anti-codon, and T loops). The record is from RNAcentral. Lineage: Bacteria; Pseudomonadati; Pseudomonadota; Alphaproteobacteria; Hyphomicrobiales; Rhizobiaceae.
GCCCUUGUAGCUCAGUUGGUAGAGCACUUGAUUUGUAACCAAGUUUUUCCACAAAACACGUUAUAACUCGAUCUAACCAAGCGCGCCA